UUCACUCUACAUGGAGACCAGUACAGCACAGAGAUCCAACCAUGGCACCUACAAUCACUUCAGCUGUGAUCUACUCUAAUGAGCACCUGACUCUGAUCAACAAGAAAGCCAGUGGUGGAAAAGUUAAGCAGAGAUCGUUUCAACAACAGCAUAGAGCAGAUCAAGUCUCUCCUGGGUCCAGAGAUCCUCAACCAGCAGCCAGACUCCAAGCUGGAGAAAGCCGACAUCUUGGAGAUGACAGUUUGCUUCCUGAGACGACAGCAACAGAACCAGCCAGUGAGCUCCUCCUCUUGCUCAGCAGCUGUCAAUCAGGGUUAUUCCAGGUGUGUCCAAUAGAUUGUGCACUUCCUGUCCAAGGAUGAGGUGAAGACACAGACCCAGGGAAGACUGCUGAGCCACUUCCAGAGCCUGCAUCCAUCCUCUGAUAAGAACAGGAGGGAGAGUGACCUGCCUCAGUUCAGCUCCCAAGCCCAGUUCAGAAUCAGCAAAGAGAAGAGUCCAGUCAACAUCGCCCUCUGGAGGCCCUGGUAGAGUCCUACAGACUAAAGCUCAACUCAGAAAAAGUCAAUGGACCAUGUUGGUCUAACAUUAAUGUGAUGGACAGUGAUCAGAGAUCUUCUUCAUAUUAUGCGUGUGCAGGUUGUUUUAAAAGUUGUGUCUCGAUUUAAACUUUUAAUUUCAGUUGUACUGAACAAGUUAAAAGUUUUGGCUAUGGAAACAAUGAAGUCUACAAACACUGCAUUUUUGUAAUGUUAAUAACCUUUAUGUUUUGUGAAGCAUAUGUUGAUCAGUUGUCCACUCGUGAUAAACAUCAACUUCAAUGGUCAUCCAUGAGGACCUUUAACCCGAAAUGGGUAUUUAAUCAUAUUUUUGUGAUGGUCUAUUACCGAUCUGUUUAAAGGUCAACACGUAUUCAAGAAUAAGCUAUUUUGUUACCUUAAUUUUUAAAGAGCAGACUUUAUGUGUGAAAAUGUUGCUCACAUUAUUAUUAUGAUAUUGAUGUAUAUACUUCCUAUGAUUGAAAACGUUUAUCUCUUAUAAAACCUCUAUUUUAAACUUGCGUAUUUUAUAAAGACAGUAACUGUGUAUCCUAUACUAUGUUAGAGUAUCAUAAGUCUUAUGAUCAUAUGCUACUUAGAUUCAUAUGUCUUAGAUUUAUUCAAGUUCUGGUUGAGAUGUUUAAUCACUUUAUUUCUAUUGAAAUAUUUACCUUAAAUGAAGGUAUUCGAUGAUGUAAUUCAGUGAGUCAGUCUGA
Molecule: RNA transcript, 1255 nt
Organism: Oncorhynchus tshawytscha (Chinook salmon)
Lineage: Eukaryota; Metazoa; Chordata; Actinopteri; Salmoniformes; Salmonidae
Gene name: transcription factor HES-5-like
Exons: 2
Source: RefSeq, a predicted model, not a curated record